GUAGCAGAUAUGCUCUCUAUAUUAUUCAUGUAAUUGGUCAUAGUGGCUCCCCACUUUUCUUUGACAACCUUUACUAGUUCUAUGUGUUUAGUCUUGUUCUCACUGAGCUUUAUAAGCCUUCCUGUUUUAAAGUUCUGUGGUAUCAAAAUAAAGCCUUGAGUAUCUUAUUUAUUAGAUAUAAAUGAAGCCAAAGUAGAACGUAAUUUAAAACCUCCUAUAGAAAGCUAAACCCAAGGGUUCCCUCUUUCAAUAAUUGACUGACUUUGGGAUUGAGUGUUAUUUGUCUAGCUUCUGUUAAAGAUGUGAUCAAUUCUCUUUUUUCCUAUAACUUCUAUUUGGGAUUUAAAAAUAUGAGCUACAAUGUACUCUGCCUUUUUUUGAGGAUUCUUUAUCAAUCUUAGGUUGUAAUUUACAUCUUUAAAUGUGCAAAAAAAUUUCUACCAACUUUGAAAAUAGCAGAUUUGGAUGCCCUGUUCUUUGAUGUAUGCCUUUUUUGUAUUGUGAUAUUGACAUAAAUUCUCGGGAUUUGUGUUUAUUGUAUGAUUUUUAGGUUUGCUCAGAUAUAAAUAAGCCAAAUGGACAAUUUAUUUGCCAAAUGAUCGAAUUUUUAUCAUGACUUUCAUAUCUUCCCUCCCAAUAAGAAAGAUUGGAGGCAUUGGCAAGGUUACUGAGCAUAUCCUAAGGACUUCUUUUGAGAUUGAUACAUGCAAAGAUUUACUCGACAAAGGCGUUUUUCUAUGUGCAUUGUUUUCUCCUUCAUCUGCAAGUUGAUUACCUUGUUGUUUUUCUUCUACUUGAAUCAGUAUAUAAUUGUGCAGUGCCCUUAACUUUUGCUUAAUGAUUUAGUUGCAUUGUAGCCUAGUAGCUUGUGUCCUUUUAGGUAUUUUUUCUCUUCUGUGUUUUUCUUUUUUUCCCUGGUACAUGAAGGCAUUUCAACUUGCAUUUUUCAUCUAUGUAGCAGAAUUUGAGUAGGGCAUCAUCAGUUUUUAAACAAAAGUGUCUAGUUGUCAUUAAACCUAUAGUGGUUAGUUAUCCAUAGUCCUGGCCACUUACAUUUUCUCCGGGUACAUCACAUAGCAAUUUAACCAAAUACCAAAAGAUUUUUAUUGAUGUGAGGUCAUUAGAAGAGAGGGAGGAGGGGGGGUUUGAUUGUGAUUUCCUAUUGAGGAGUGGUGUUAAUUGAAAUCUAGAUAUAUGAGGCAAAAGUAGGUAAUUUGAAUUAAUAGUUUAGUAAGGAAGUGGAAGAGGACCACAACAAAGUGAGAGAGGAAGGUUUUAAAAGAAUUUAUGAGCUGAUCAGUACCCUGAUUUUAGCGUGGUCAUUUCUUGUUUCUGAUCAAAUCAAAACACCUAUAUCUUGUACGAAGUACAUAUUAAAUAACAAUAAAUAAAUAAGCAUACUUCAAAACCAAUAUUUCAUAUUUGUACUAAAAUUCACAUCAUUUCUGGCAAGAUAAUAAUAUAAUAGCAAGCAGAGUAGGAUUCCUUUUACAUUUUGCUUCACAGGCUACAUAUAUUAACUUAACAAUGUUCAUAUUGUAAACCUGCUGCAGAUUUUUUUCUAUCUGUUGGAUUGGGACUAGGGAGCACAGAUACACCACAAGCUAGACUGCGGAAGAGCAUGAGUAAUGAAAGAACAUUUUCCGCCACCGAGGAUGAAGCUUACUUAUAUAAGAAGCUAGUGUCCUCAACAAUUGGGUGGACGUGAGUGUGGCUACUACGUCAUGCGUUAUAUGUACGAAAUUCUUAAACAUCAUCAUAGUAGUGAGGAUCUUAUUAAGGAUUUUUCAAGAACUACACCGUACACCGAGGAGGAGAUAAAUGAGAUUCGAGAUAUUUGGGCAGAGUAUUUUAUAUGUAAUGUUGAACUUUAGAUUUACACUUAGCGCAUGUUGGACUCUUGUUUUGGAUUAUAGGCUUGAAAUGAAUGAAUUUGGUUAAUUGGUGUUGGGAUGAUGAGUAUAAUGUCUAUGAUAUUGAGAUGUAAAUUAUUGGACAGGUUGUUAAUAUAAUGUCGUCAUUCCCAAUUUUAUGGGUAGGCCAAAUUACGAAGGAGACUCUGCCGAAAUUUACAUUUGCAUUAUUCAAUAAUAUUGCAUUUUAAUUUCAA
Molecule: long non-coding RNA, 2110 nt
Organism: Chenopodium quinoa (quinoa)
Lineage: Eukaryota; Viridiplantae; Streptophyta; Magnoliopsida; Caryophyllales; Amaranthaceae
Exons: 4
Source: RefSeq, a predicted model, not a curated record